Triticum urartu is the source of this 135-nucleotide non-coding RNA. The record is from Rfam. NCBI's taxonomy places the organism in Eukaryota, Viridiplantae, Streptophyta, Magnoliopsida, Poales, Poaceae.
AUAGUACUUCCUCUGUCCGGAAAUACUUGUCGUCAAAAUGGAUUAAAUGAGAUGUAUCUAGAUGUAUUUUAGUUCUAAAUACAUCUCAUUUUAUCCAUUUUAAUAACAAGUAUUUUUGAACGGAGGUAGUAUUCG